RNAcentral lists this small RNA (400 nucleotides) under Histoplasma ohiense. Its description in RNAcentral is "hypothetical lncRNA". The record is from RNAcentral. Lineage: Eukaryota; Fungi; Ascomycota; Eurotiomycetes; Onygenales; Ajellomycetaceae.
CGGGAUGGAACGGGAACAGGUGAGAUAAUGGAAAGUUGAUUUACUAGUAGUUAUAUUUUUCUUUUUGGGGAUGGAAAAGGGGGUGAUGGUGAAAAUCUGUUGAGAAGGAGUGGUAAGGUUGAAAAUGUUCCAUUAUAACAUGCUAUACUAGCGUUGAGAGAAAAGAGGGUGCAAAAAGAGGCGGGAAGGACCUUGUACGACGCAAUAUAGGGGUACAUAGAUGGAGGGCACAGUCUGAUCCCUAGUUGUCGAUCUGCCCACGGACAGUAACUAGGUUUCUUUUCUACAUUUGUGUAGAAUUGAUUGAGAGAUUGACAAACUUUUACUCCCAAGUCACACACAUCCUAACAUCCCGUCUGUACAAAUGAGUGGUAUAUGGAGCGAGAUCUUAGAAAGCAAA